GCCGGGCACGGUGGCACAUGCCUGUAGUCCCAGCUACUCAGGAGGCUGAGGUGGGAGGAUCGCUUGAGCCCAGGACUUCUGUGCUAUAGUGCGCUAUGCCGAUCAGGUGUCUGCACUAAGUUCAGCAUCAAUAUGGUGAUCUCCCAGGAGUCGGGGACCACCAGGUUGCCUAAGGAGGGGUGAACAGGCCCAGUUCGGAAAGGGAGCAGGUCAAACUCCCAUGCUGAUCAGUAGUGGGAUUGCACCUGUGAGUAGCCACUGCACUCCAGCCUGGGCAACAUAGCGAGACCCCAUCUCU
RNAcentral lists this signal recognition particle RNA (298 nucleotides) under Cebus imitator (Panamanian white-faced capuchin). Its description in RNAcentral is "Metazoan signal recognition particle RNA (ENSCCAG00000010806.1)". It matches the Rfam family "Metazoan signal recognition particle RNA". From Rfam's summary of the family: The signal recognition particle (SRP) is a universally conserved ribonucleoprotein. It is involved in the co-translational targeting of proteins to membranes. The eukaryotic SRP consists of a 300-nucleotide 7S RNA and six proteins: SRPs 72, 68, 54, 19, 14, and 9. Lineage: Eukaryota; Metazoa; Chordata; Mammalia; Primates; Cebidae. The record is from RNAcentral.